CAUAUGAAUAUUUUUGUGGUUUGAUUGUAAUCGUUAAGGGGUUCCUAGGAUUUUUGAGUUCUGGUAGUUGAGUUUAAUUGUUAAAUCUUGUUUUCAUUUAUUGAAUGCAUGUUAAAAAUUUUUGAAAUAUAUAUUUCAAUGUGUCAUCAAAAUCCAAUAGUGGUAUUAGAGCCAUCCUUGAUAGAUUCAAUCAAAUUUCAUGUUAUUUUUG
Molecule: long non-coding RNA, 211 nt
Filed under: Elaeis guineensis (African oil palm)
Lineage: Eukaryota; Viridiplantae; Streptophyta; Magnoliopsida; Arecales; Arecaceae
Description: long non-coding RNA (EGUI_LNC042481)
Source: RNAcentral